This is a non-coding RNA of Schizosaccharomyces pombe (fission yeast), 341 nucleotides long. NCBI's taxonomy places the organism in Eukaryota, Fungi, Ascomycota, Schizosaccharomycetes, Schizosaccharomycetales, Schizosaccharomycetaceae. The record is from the annotation of a GenBank genome assembly.
UCUGCCUGAAGCAAAACUCUAUGCCAUUUAUCACUUUCUUCAAUUUUUCUCCUUUUCUCUUCGUCCAUGCUUUCAAUACGGCGUUUCUUGGCUUCCAAAUGCUUUAGAGCGCCAAAGACAUCAGUAGGACCUCGCUUUUUUCCGGCAACUUUUAGUUUACCAUUCGAGAAUUUGUCAUCUCCGACUAUUAAAGUACCAUAAGUAAUAGUGCUCUUGUGGUUGUCAUUUUCCUCGUCAGCAAUGUUAUCAGAAGAGUUCCCAGUGUCAUAAGCUGCCACUUUUGAUUCCUGUUUAGCCUUUGACUCCUUUUUAGCUAACUUCUUCGCUUCAGCACGAGCUUU